UUAAAAAUAAGCUAAUAAAG
Molecule: transfer RNA, 20 nt
Filed under: Strymon melinus (gray hairstreak)
Lineage: Eukaryota; Metazoa; Arthropoda; Insecta; Lepidoptera; Lycaenidae
Also listed under: 1 other name
Description: partial tRNA-Met
Source: RNAcentral